RNAcentral lists this ribosomal RNA (472 nucleotides) under marine sediment metagenome. RNAcentral's name for it is "bacterial SSU rRNA". It matches the Rfam family "Archaeal small subunit ribosomal RNA", at positions 989 to 1467 of the family's 1478-position model. The record is from RNAcentral.
GGUGCAUGGCCGUCGCCAGUUCGUGCCGUGAGGUGUCCUGUUAAGUCAGGCAACGAUCGAGACCCGCGUCCUCUGUUGCUACUGGUUUUGUGCCAGGCACACUGAGGAGACCGCCGCUGAUAAAGCGGAGGAAGGAGCGGGCCACGGCAGGUCAGUAUGCCCCGAAUAUCCCGGGCCACACGCGAGCUGCAAUGGCAGGUACAAUGGGUUCCGACCUCGUAAGGGGAAGGCAAUCUCGAAAGCCUGCCGUAGUUGGGAUCGAGGGUUGAAACUCACCCUCGUGAACAUGGAAUCCCUAGUAAUCGCGUGUCACUAGCGCGCGGUGAAUACGUCCCUGCGCCUUGCACACACCGCCCGUCGUUCCAGCCGAGCGAUUCCUGGGUGAGGCGUGGUCUUCCUUGGCUGCGUCGAAUCUAGGUUUCGCAAGGAGGGAAAAGUCGUAACAAGGUGGCCGUAGGGGAACCUGCGGCCG